RNAcentral lists this ribosomal RNA (420 nucleotides) under uncultured bacterium. RNAcentral describes it as "bacterial SSU rRNA". It matches the Rfam family "Bacterial small subunit ribosomal RNA", at positions 355 to 774 of the family's 1533-position model. The record is from RNAcentral.
UAAGGAAUAUUGCUCAAUGGGAGAAAUCCUGAAGCAGCAACGCCGCGUGGAGGAUGAAGGGUCUAUGACUUGUAAACUCCUGUAAAGAAGGAAAAAAUUCCCAUUAGAUGGGAGAUGAUGGUACUUCUGGAGUAAGCCCCGGCUAACUACGUGCCAGCAGCCGCGGUAAUACGUAGGGGGCAAGCGUUGUCCGGAUUUACUGGGUGUAAAGGGUGCUCAGGCGGAUUUGUAAGUCAGAGGUGAAAUCUUACAGCUUAACUGUGAAACUGCCUAUGAUACUGCAAGCCUAGAGUAUGGAAGAGAGUGAUGGAAUAGAUGGUGUAGCAGUGAAAUGCGUAGAUAUCAGAUAGAACACCAAUGGCGAAGGCAGUCACUUGGUCCAUUACUGACGCUAAAGCACGAAAGCGUGGGUAGCAAACA